This 322-nucleotide long non-coding RNA is filed under the name Linum usitatissimum (flax). RNAcentral's name for it is "long non-coding RNA (LUSI_LNC003315)". The record is from RNAcentral. Lineage: Eukaryota; Viridiplantae; Streptophyta; Magnoliopsida; Malpighiales; Linaceae.
UUUUCAACAAACAAAAAAAUAGAAGAAUAUUAUUAUUACAUAAAUAAAGCAAAUCAAAAUAAUUAUAAAAAAUGUUUAAUUUCUUUCCCCUUUCUUUAUCUUCAUUUAAAUAACUCUGGAUAGCUUUCUUCUUCACUUUCUUUCUCAGGUUUUCUUCUUCAAGCUUCAUUCUUUCUCUCUAUUCUCUCAUUUACCUCUCCGCCAAUCAAUGGAGCUAGCUCUGAGCUUGGGCGAUACUUCGAAACCCUUCAAGUUCCUCGAAAAAUCGACCCCCAGAACCUCCACCGCCGAUCACCACCUCGGUUUUUGUAUCGGUGGGGGG